CAGUCGCCGCGGGAAUACAGAGGGUGCAAGCGUUAAUCGGAUUUACUGGGCGUAAAGGGCGCGUAGGUGGUUAUGUAAGUGAGAUGUGAAAUCCCCGGGCUCAACCUGGGAACUGCAUCUUAUACUGCGUAGCUGGAGUGCAGUAGAGGGUAGUGGAAUUUCCGGUGUAGCGGUGAAAUGCGUAGAUACCGGAAGGAACACCAGUGGCGAAGGCGGCUACCUGGACUGACACUGACACUGAGGCGCGAAAGCGUGGGGAGCAAACAGGAUUAGAUACCCCAGUAGUCCCUGUCCUCUUAUA
Molecule: ribosomal RNA, 301 nt
Filed under: uncultured bacterium
Lineage: Bacteria
Description: partial 16S ribosomal RNA
Rfam family: Bacterial small subunit ribosomal RNA
Source: RNAcentral